AUUGAACGCUGGCGGCAUGCUUUACACAUGCAAGUCGAACGGCAGCGGGGAGGAGCUUGCUUCUCUGCCGGCGAGUGGCGAACGGGUGAGUAAUACAUCGGAACGUGUCGAGAAGAGGGGGAUAACCACCCGAAAGGGUGGCUAAUACCGCAUAAAUUCUGAGGAAGAAAGCUGGGGACCUAGGAAUAGGCCUAGCGCUUUUUGAGCGGCCGAUGUCGGAUUAGCUAGUUGGGGAGGUAAAGGCUCACCAAGGCGAAGAUCUGUAGCGGGUCUGAGAGGAUGAUCCGCCACACUGGGACUGAGACACGGCCCAGACUCCUACGGGAGGCAGCAGUGGGGAAUUUUGGACAAUGGGGGCAACCCUGAUCCAGCCAUGCCGCGUGUAUGAAGAAGGCCUUAGGGUUGUAAAGUACUUUUGUUAGGGAAGAAAAGUCAGCUGUGAAUAAUGGCUGAUACUGACGGUACCUAAAGAAUAAGCACCGGCUAACUACGUG
RNAcentral lists this ribosomal RNA (494 nucleotides) under uncultured bacterium. RNAcentral describes it as "partial 16S ribosomal RNA". It matches the Rfam family "Bacterial small subunit ribosomal RNA", at positions 30 to 507 of the family's 1533-position model. The record is from RNAcentral.